Molecule: ribosomal RNA, 584 nt
Filed under: bacterium
Lineage: Bacteria
Description: bacterial SSU rRNA
Rfam family: Bacterial small subunit ribosomal RNA
Source: RNAcentral
CGGUAGCUAAUACCGCAUAACGUCGCAAGACCAAAGAGGGGGACCUUCGGGCCUCUUGCCAUCGGAUGUGCCCAGAUGGGAUUAGCUAGUAGGUGGGGUAAAGGCUCACCUAGGCGACGAUCCCUAGCUGGUCUGAGAGGAUGACCAGCCACACUGGAACUGAGACACGGUCCAGACUCCUACGGGAGGCAGCAGUGGGGAAUAUUGCACAAUGGGCGCAAGCCUGAUGCAGCCAUGCCGCGUGUAUGAAGAAGGCCUUCGGGUUGUAAAGUACUUUCAGCGGGGAGGAAGGGAGUAAAGUUAAUACCUUUGCUCAUUGACGUUACCCGCAGAAGAAGCACCGGCUAACUCCGUGCCAGCAGCCGCGGUAAUACGGAGGGUGCAAGCGUUAAUCGGAAUUACUGGGCGUAAAGCGCACGCAGGCGGGUUUGUUAAGUCAGAUGUGAAAUCCCCCGGGCUCAACCCUGGGAACUGCAUCUGAUACUGGCAAGCUUGAGUCCUCGUAGAGGGGGGGUAGAAUUCCAGGUGUAGCCGGUGAAAAUGCCGUACAGAUCUUGGAGGAAUAACCGGUGGUCGGAAGGCGG